Molecule: ribosomal RNA, 524 nt
Filed under: Cetoscarus bicolor (bicolor parrotfish)
Lineage: Eukaryota; Metazoa; Chordata; Actinopteri; Labriformes; Labridae
Description: partial 16S ribosomal RNA
Rfam family: Bacterial large subunit ribosomal RNA (bases 188-524)
Source: RNAcentral
GCCCAAUAGCUAGCCCACCCACCAAAAACAACAUACCCCUAUUAAUAACCCCACACACACUAAAUAGAAACAAACAAACCAUUUUUCCCCCUAAGUAUGGGCGACAGAAAAGGAACAUUGGCGCAAUAGAGAAAGUACCGCAAGGGAAAGCUGAAAGAGGAAUGAAAUAACCCAGUAAAGCUCAAAGAAGCAGAGACUAAGUCUCGUACCUUUUGCAUCAUGAACUAGCGAGAAUAACCAGGCGAAAAGAUUUUUAGUCUGAUGUCCCGAAACCAAGUGAGCUACUCCAAGACAGCCUACAACAAGGGCUAACCCGUCUCUGUGGCAAAAGAGUGGGAAGAGCUUUGAGUAGAGGUGAUAGACCUAUCGAACUUGGUUAUAGCUGGUUGCCUGAAAAAUGGAUAGAAGUUCAGCCUUUUAGAUUCUCCAUUCACAGCCAAGUCAGAUGCCAAGAAACUAAAAGAGUUACCCAAAGGGGGUACAGCCCCUUUAAGACAAGACACAACUUCUCCAGGAGGAUAAAG